CACUGUACCCGGUAACGGUCGG
Molecule: non-coding RNA, 22 nt
Filed under: Mus musculus (house mouse)
Lineage: Eukaryota; Metazoa; Chordata; Mammalia; Rodentia; Muridae
Source: RNAcentral